Molecule: ribosomal RNA, 719 nt
Filed under: uncultured bacterium
Lineage: Bacteria
Description: bacterial SSU rRNA
Rfam family: Bacterial small subunit ribosomal RNA
Source: RNAcentral
GCUUCGGCCUCGCUUUGGGAUGAGCCUGCGGCGCAUUAGUUAGUUGGCGGGGUAACGGCCCACCAAGGCAACGAUGCGUAGCCGGCCUGAGAGGGUGAUCGGCCACACUGGGACUGAGAUACGGCCCAGACUCCUACGGGAGGCAGCAGCUAAGAAUCUUCCGCAAUGGGCGAAAGCCUGACGGAGCGACGCCGCGUGGAGGACGAAGGCCGAGAGGUUGUAAACUCCUUUUCUGCGUGAGGAAUAAUCACCGGGGGGAAUGCUGGUGAGAUGACGGUAGCGCAGGAAUAAGCCCCGGCCAAUUACGUGCCAGCAGCCGCGGUAAUACGUAUGGGGCGAGCGUUGUUCGGAAUCAUUGGGCGUAAAGGGCGCGCAGGCGGCUGUGCAAGCCUGGUGUGAAAGACCACAGCUUAACUGUGGGAGCGCGCUGGGAACUGUGCAGCUAGAGUUCCGGAGGGGAAGCUGGAAUUCCAGGUGUAGGGGUGAAGUCUGUAGAUAUCUGGAAGAACAUCGGCGGCGAAGGCGAGCUUCUGGCCGUGAACUGACGCUGAGGCGCGAUAGCGUGGGGAGCGAACAGGAUUAAGAUACCCUGGUAGUCCACGCUGUAAACGAUGUGCACUAUGGGGUGGGCCCAUGAAGGGGUCCAGUGGCGGAAGCCAACGCGUUAAGUGCACCGCCUGGGGGAAUAUUGCCCGCUAGGGGUGAAACUCAAAGGAAUU